GAUGAACGCUAGCUACAGGCUUAACACAUGCAAGUCGAGGGGCAGCAUGGUCUUAGCUUGCUAAGGCCGAUGGCGACCGGCGCACGGGUGAGUAACACGUAUCCAACCUGCCGUCUACUCUUGGACAGCCUUCUGAAAGGAAGAUUAAUACAAGAUGGCAUCAUGAGUCCGCAUGUUCACAUGAUUAAAGGUAUUCCGGUAGACGAUGGGGAUGCGUUCCAUUAGAUAGUAGCCGGGGUAACGGCCCACCUAGUCUUCGAUGGAUAGGGGUUCUGAGAGGAAGGUCCCACACAUUGGAACUGAGACACGGUCCAAACUCCUACGGGAGGCAGCAGUGAGGAAUAUUGGUCAAUGGGCGCAGGCCUGAACCAGCCAAGUAGCGUGAAGGAUGACUGCCCUAUGGGUUGUAAACUUCUUUUAGAAAGGAAUAAAGUCGGGUAUGUAUACCCGUUUGCAUGUACUUUAUGAAUAAGGAUCGGCUAACUCCGUG
Molecule: ribosomal RNA, 490 nt
Filed under: uncultured bacterium
Lineage: Bacteria
Description: partial 16S ribosomal RNA
Rfam family: Bacterial small subunit ribosomal RNA
Source: RNAcentral